Long non-coding RNA from Triticum aestivum (bread wheat), 450 nucleotides. RefSeq lists it as uncharacterized. The record is from RefSeq and is a predicted model, not a curated record. Lineage: Eukaryota; Viridiplantae; Streptophyta; Magnoliopsida; Poales; Poaceae. The transcript is spliced from 3 exons.
ACGAAACAUCGGAAUACAUUUCCAAACGCCGGGAUCGGAAGGAACAUGCCUGCCACCCGUUGCUCUAGUUUCAUCGACCAUAUGCGAAUUAAACAAAGUUGACCUCACUCAGGCACUCUCCUUUCUGCGCCGUCGACAGCAGCAACACAAGAAUGUCGACCUACCGGCCGCUCGAUUGCAUCUGUAGCGAUAUUCCUCUUUCCUCUCCGACAUGAUUUGAUAGCCCAAGCUUGGAAGGAGGCGCUCCACUAUUAGAUCCGUGAAAAACAUGUUCCACCCUUAACAUUUGGAGUGAAGCUCCGAAGGAGGCACUCCACUAUUAUCCCGUGAAGAAGAAUCCAGAGGUCUCUAGGGGGUGGGUGGGUCGGUCGGGUGUGUCCGGUCGGAUCAGAACUCCACCGGAAACGAACAAGGAGGUGACGAGAAGCGCAAGAAAUACACCGAGUAUCG